Molecule: transfer RNA, 89 nt
Filed under: Pseudomonadota bacterium
Lineage: Bacteria; Pseudomonadati; Pseudomonadota
Also listed under: 2 other names
Description: tRNA-Leu
Rfam family: tRNA
About the family: Transfer RNA (tRNA) molecules are approximately 80 nucleotides in length. Their secondary structure includes four short double-helical elements and three loops (D, anti-codon, and T loops).
Source: RNAcentral
GGGCGGGUGGCGAAACCGGCAAACGCGGGGGCCUUAAAAGCCUCUGGUCCGCAGGGACCCUGGGGGUUCGACUCCCUCCCCGCCCACCA